GCCUGGCUGGCUUAGUCGGUAAAGCGUGUGACUUUCGAUCUCGUCAUGAGUUCAAGCCCCAUGUUGGGUG
Molecule: transfer RNA, 70 nt
Filed under: Canis lupus familiaris (dog)
Lineage: Eukaryota; Metazoa; Chordata; Mammalia; Carnivora; Canidae
Also listed under: 1 other name
Rfam family: tRNA
About the family: Transfer RNA (tRNA) molecules are approximately 80 nucleotides in length. Their secondary structure includes four short double-helical elements and three loops (D, anti-codon, and T loops).
Source: Rfam by way of RNAcentral